CUCCAUAUUCCAUUCCUCGGGGAAUGACAUGUUAUCGGCUGCAAUUAUGUUGGAAGUCCUCACUCGGACAAACCAACCCAUCCAUCCUAGGUCCUUUUCUUCAUCUAUGCUUGAGAACAACACCUUCGUAGCUUGGCGAUGAAAUCUUAUUAGUCCACCUUAAUAGAGAUGGGAGUUGUAUAGUCUAGUGAGAUGGUCGAGGUUGAAAGACAUCCCUUCGACCUUGCUCACAAAGAAUCGAAAUAAAAUAACUAUGCGCCAAAAAGGGUGGAUUUGGCCUAGGUUUAUUCGGUAUUGACGGCAGAAAUCAAUGAUCACGGGAUCGAUGGGAC
RNAcentral lists this long non-coding RNA (332 nucleotides) under Nicotiana benthamiana. RNAcentral's name for it is "long non-coding RNA (NBEN_LNC040036)". The record is from RNAcentral. Lineage: Eukaryota; Viridiplantae; Streptophyta; Magnoliopsida; Solanales; Solanaceae.